AUAAACUUCAUCGUUUUUAUUCUGCAAAGCAAUAUGCACAUCUUACAAACACAAAAUUAAUCUAGGAGAGAAAUGUCAUUUCCAAAUCAGCUAUUAACCAUCAUGCAACAAGACAAGUGAAAUGUAAGAACAAAACCAAAACAGCCAUCUUAACCCUACAAUCACCUGCAGAGGGUUGAAAACCAAGGCUCAGAUUUUUUCUAUGUAAUGCCAAAGGAAAAUGCAAAAGAAAAUGGCAGCUUUCUAAGAACAAGAAAACACGUACAAAUAGAAUCAAAACUGAUUCAAGUCAUAGUUCAAAAGAAAAAGAAAACAAAACAAAAAAGGAAAGAUCAAUAUGAUCUGAACUUUAAGUUUUUACUCUUCUGUUUGGCUGCAUUUAACUUUUGUACAUUGCGCCUAGGAACAAUCCAGUAUUCCUGAACAUUGCAGCAUUUCAGCCUGAUGGACACCCUCUCUGCUGCAAUACAGGGGUGCAAAGGAGUGAACUAAGGCCAAAAACCACAACUUUUAAGGUUUUCCCUUUUGUGGUUGUGGGUCACAAUCUAAGUACUUCUGGGUACUUCAGGAUAGUGGGUGAUUAAGUUAUAAAGCAGGUUCCUUUAGUUACCCAAGAGUGAAAAAGAGAUUCAAAAAGCCCAAUAAAUCUGCUUUCCCCAACAGACCAAAUUCCAGUUUGGACAUUUGGAGUUUGAUUUUAAAUUUGCUGAAACAGAAAUGACUUGGCUCUGCUAUUUUAAAGGAGUUAUGUUGAGUGUUUUCUAUUUGCACCACCACCCCAAUCCGUUUCCUAUUCCUGCCUUUGGUCCCCAGAUCAAGCCACCCUCACAGGCAACUCUCCAAGUCAGGAUUGAUGCAGAAGGCUGGGUGUGUGUGAUAAGGAACAGCUUGGACAGUUUCCAUGAGAAGCCAUCUACCUUGUUUGACUUCAUGCAUUCAUUUCAGUGAAGCAGUGUGAGCCCAUAGCAGCAUCAGGAGAAAACUGGAAGCUUCAUUUUAUCCCUAGACUUCAAACUAAGCCAUCUCUAAAGCUUUGCCUUAACGUCCCUGGAGGAAAACACGUUAGUUAAUACCACUUAAGUAACUGGAAUUCUAUAAAGGAAACAUGUUCUGAAGAAAAGUGUGACUAUUUUGCUUCAAAUGCUUUGAAGACUGGUGAAGUGACUGAAGUCCCACACAUACAGACCAGCAGGAUACCAUUAAAUAGUGACUACAGGGUGUAACCCAAGAAUCUUAUGCCAGCAUAAUUGAGACGGUGAGAUAUUUGACUUGGGUUUCUUCUUUUGUGUAGUUUAGAGCAAAAGGAGGAGAGAAAAAAAGCCUCUGUGUAUGUAUGCAGACCUACAGUUAUACUACCUGACCAGAAAGCUGAAAGACAAGAUGAAAGGUCAAUUAAGGCAACCAGUGAGAUUGUAAAAGCAGUGGUGGAAAUGUCUGCAGGAAAAGCUUAAGGAAGCUGCUCAAUCAGAAGCCAGAAUGAACAGCAAAAGCCAGAACGGGAAAGGGAGAAAUGCAUGGAAUAAAAGAUCUACCCUAAGAAUGGACACAGAGAACAGUAUGUGUUUUACCGUGUGGUUUCUGUGACCUUAAUCACAACAGCCCUGGUCUUCUCCUUGUCCUUCUCCCCUGAGUGGACAGCAUUACAUGGAAAUGGGCAAAGCUAAUGAAAGUGUCAUUUUCAGCUGCCCUUCAGAGAUGGCUGGAGAGUCCCAAAGUGAAGCUUUGUAAGAGACUAUGGGAUUUCUUAUUCUUUCAUUAUUUGCACUUGCCCAAAGCUGUGCAGAGCCCCAGCAGACUGUUCAAACAAUGCACCUUUUUAUUAGCUUUCCACUUUCUAGGAAGAAAACCAAGAGGUUACAGAAAGCUGCUCUGCAGCAGAGACACCCAAUCCUGGUCUGAGGGCUGCGGAUGGGAGCUCAAGUGGAAAGCCUUCCAGGUAGUCUCUGUGCUGACCGGUUCUCUGGUAUUCAGCAAGCCAAAUGAAACAAAAAGAAUGACAAAGAAAAAGAACAAAAUAAUCAGACUUCAUACUUUCCAGUAAGAAACCUUUUAAAAUGGGACUUCACUUCUUUUUUUUUCUUUUUACUAUGAAUAAAAGCACAAGUUUGUCCUAAAUACAGCACUAUUAAAAUGUGAAUAUGUAUUUCUUUGUUUCCCCAAAAAAAAAAA
Molecule: long non-coding RNA, 2169 nt
Filed under: Strigops habroptila (Kakapo)
Lineage: Eukaryota; Metazoa; Chordata; Aves; Psittaciformes; Psittacidae
Description: lncRNA (ENSSHBG00005016037.1)
Source: RNAcentral